Molecule: long non-coding RNA, 310 nt
Filed under: Parus major (Great Tit)
Lineage: Eukaryota; Metazoa; Chordata; Aves; Passeriformes; Paridae
Description: lncRNA (ENSPMJG00000011915.1)
Source: RNAcentral
CUUUUUUUUUUUUUUCCUCCCGUUCAUGCUAAGAAACAUCAAAGCAACAGAGCAGUGAUUUUGAAGAUGAACACUCAACAGUAGAUCAGGAAUCUUCUGAGAACUCUGGUGUGGAUACAUCUGAUAUAGGUGAAGAAAGGGGUGAUAUAGGCUCAGUAAGAAGAAAAUUUGAAGAAAUUGACCUCCAGGUAGAAUUUUUGGGUGUCUAAUAUAAAGUAAUGAUUUUGUGUUCAAUAGAACCUAUUAACUAUUUGAGUAGUUUGCACAUGCCUGAUGAGUUGAUACAGAAGGCUUGAUACAGUUGAUCCAG